Molecule: ribosomal RNA, 1270 nt
Filed under: Acinetobacter nosocomialis Ab22222
Lineage: Bacteria; Pseudomonadati; Pseudomonadota; Gammaproteobacteria; Moraxellales; Moraxellaceae
Description: bacterial LSU rRNA
Rfam family: Bacterial large subunit ribosomal RNA
Source: RNAcentral
AGUAGACCAAGGCGCUUGAGAGAACUCUGCUGAAGGAACUAGGCAAAAUGGUACCGUAACUUCGGGAGAAGGUACGCUGUUGUUGGUGAUGGAACUUGCUUCCUGAGCUGAUGACAGCCGCAGAAACCAGGCCGCUGCAACUGUUUAUUAAAAACAUAGCACUCUGCAAACACGAAAGUGGACGUAUAGGGUGUGAUGCCUGCCCGGUGCUGGAAGGUUAAUUGAUGGGGUUAGCGUAAGCGAAGCUCUUGAUCGAAGCCCCAGUAAACGGCGGCCGUAACUAUAACGGUCCUAAGGUAGCGAAAUUCCUUGUCGGGUAAGUUCCGACCUGCACGAAUGGCAUAAUGAUGGCGGCGCUGUCUCCAGCAGAGGCUCAGUGAAAUCGAAAUCGCUGUGAAGAUGCAGUGUACCCGCGGCUAGACGGAAAGACCCCGUGAACCUUUACUGCAGCUUGACACUGAACUUUGACCUUACUUGUGUAGGAUAGGUGGGAGGCUUUGAAGUUGGAACGCUAGUUCCAAUGGAGCCGUCCUUGAAAUACCACCCUGGUAAUGUUGAGGUUCUAACUCUGUCCCGUUAUCCGGGACGAGGACCGUGUCUGGUGGGUAGUUUGACUGGGGCGGUCUCCUCCUAAAGAGUAACGGAGGAGUACGAAGGUGCGCUCAGCGUGGUCGGAAAUCACGCGUAGAGUAUAAAGGCAAAAGCGCGCUUAACUGCGAGACCCACAAGUCGAGCAGGUACGAAAGUAGGUCUUAGUGAUCCGGUGGUUCUGUAUGGAAGGGCCAUCGCUCAACGGAUAAAAGGUACUCUGGGGAUAACAGGCUGAUACCGCCCAAGAGUUCAUAUCGACGGCGGUGUUUGGCACCUCGAUGUCGGCUCAUCUCAUCCUGGGGCUGAAGCAGGUCCCAAGGGUAUGGCUGUUCGCCAUUUAAAGAGGUACGCGAGCUGGGUUUAGAACGUCGUGAGACAGUUCGGUCCCUAUCUACCGUGGGCGCUGGAAAUUUGAGAGGAUCUGCUCCUAGUACGAGAGGACCAGAGUGGACGAACCUCUGGUGUACCGGUUGUGACGCCAGUCGCAUCGCCGGGUAGCUAUGUUCGGAAGGGAUAACCGCUGAAAGCAUCUAAGCGGGAAGCCUACCUCAAGAUAAGAUUUCCCUAGGAAUUUAUUCCUCUAAAGAGCCGUUCGAGACUAGGACGUUGAUAGGUUGGAUGUGGAAGCAUAGUGAUAUGUGAAGCUGACCAAUACUAAUUGCUCGUGAGGCUUGACUAU